GACGAACGCUGGCGGCGUGCUUAACACAUGCAAGUCGAACGGAAAGGCCCUGCUUUUGUGGGGUGCUCGAGUGGCGAACGGGUGAGUAACACGUGAGUAACCUGCCCUUGACUUUGGGAUAACUUCAGGAAACUGGGGCUAAUACCGGAUAGGAGCUCCUGCUGCAUGGUGGGGGUUGGAAAGUUUCGGCGGUUAGGGAUGGACUCGCGGCUUAUCAGCUUGUUGGUGGGGUAGUGGCUUACCAAGGCUUUGACGGGUAGCCGGCCUGAGAGGGUGACCGGCCACAUUGGGACUGAGAUACGGCCCAGACUCCUACGGGAGGCAGCAGUGGGGAAUAUUGCACAAUGGGCGGAAGCCUGAUGCAGCAACGCCGCGUGCGGGAUGACGGCCUUCGGGUUGUAAACCGCUUUCGCCUGUGACGAAGCGUGAGUGACAGUAAUGGGUAAAGAAGCACCGGCUAACUACGUG
This 468-nucleotide ribosomal RNA is filed under the name uncultured bacterium. RNAcentral's name for it is "partial 16S ribosomal RNA". It matches the Rfam family "Bacterial small subunit ribosomal RNA", at positions 28 to 507 of the family's 1533-position model. The record is from RNAcentral.